RNAcentral lists this unclassified non-coding RNA (434 nucleotides) under Hevea brasiliensis (rubber tree). Lineage: Eukaryota; Viridiplantae; Streptophyta; Magnoliopsida; Malpighiales; Euphorbiaceae. The record is from RNAcentral.
GGAUUAAGUCUUAGUUGUUGUUGUAGUAGUAGUAGUUAGCUGUGCAAAUAGCGAAUUUGCACAUCAACUUCAUCACCCCACUGCCCCCCAAGAAAGGAAACUGAGUUUCUUUCCUAGUUACUAAAGUCAAAGAUAAUUCAAGAUUCCUAUUUUAUGUAACUAGUGUUUCACGGAUCCUAUAUAAACAAAUGUCAGAUGGCUUUCAGAACAGCUUAAGAAAAGCCUGCAUUGGAGGAACAGCAUAAAAUCUAUUACAAGUUAGAACUCCAUAAGGGAUCUGCAACUACCCAAUGACUGCAAAGAUGCAGAAGCUCUUAACCAAAAUCAUUAUUUUUUCUCGUUCCGACAAAGACCAAUAUGAGCCAACAAGUGUCCCCAUCCAACUAUUAUCAUAUGCCAAAGUAUUGGGCAUUUGAAGAUAAGUCAAAUUUCUC